This 1041-nucleotide long non-coding RNA is filed under the name Felis catus (domestic cat). RNAcentral describes it as "lncRNA (ENSFCAG00000052465.1)". The record is from RNAcentral. Lineage: Eukaryota; Metazoa; Chordata; Mammalia; Carnivora; Felidae.
AUAUAGAAGAAUCUGAUCUUCUUUACUGGAUCUCUUGGUGUAGGUUUAUCCUCUCUAAUCAGUUUCACUUUAUGCAUGAACAUUUACUGUGAUUUAUGUGCCUAACAAUGAUUAGGGUGAAUAGGUUUGUUUGAAUACAUAUGACAGAUGGCAUCUUUGUGGUCACCCAUGGAUGAGCCUUCCCAUUUCUAGAGGCAGUGGAGAAACUUUUUACCAGACUCUAGUUAAGCUCUAACACAGCUCAAGAAUAUGGUGGUGCAUAAUAUCAAAGACCAGGUUGGACUGUCUGAAAAAAGCUCUUUCUGCUCUCCUGGCCACUUGCUUUGACUAAUAGAAUUUGACUUUGGAGGUGUCAUACCCUGAAUGUUUGUGUUCCCUCAGCAUUAAUAUCUUGAAACCUUAUCCCUAAGGUGAUGGUAUUUGGAGGCGGGACCUUCGGAGAUGAAGGCUUUUCCCUCUUGAAUGCAAUCAGUGAUCUUAUAAAAUAGACCCCAGAGAUCUUUCUUGCUCCUCUGCCACAUGAGAAUACAAUGAGAAGAUGACCAUCUAUGAACCAGGAAGCUGCUUCUCACCAGUUUAAUCUAUGGUAUUCUCAUUACAGCAGCCUGAACAGACUAAGACAGAAGAGUGAAGGCCACCUUUGGUUGUAUGGUCCCAGAUGACAUUUGUAAGAGAUAACAUGAUUCAGAUGAAGUUUUAUUCAAGAUUGGACCAGACAGGCUUUUUAUACUUCGUUAUUUUCACUUAUUUCUGAUACUAAUUUAAAGCCUGUUGGGUGUGAUUGCUGUUACUCUUUCAGUUAAAACAUUCUCCGUGUGCACAUAUGCACAUGCAGAACUCAUAUGCUAGUUGUUUCCAUUCCAGCCAAAAGCACAGAUAUGAUUGAAAACACCUGAUCUCUACUUUUAAUCGUUCUUCGCCCCUCAACCUCUUUAGGGCCCUGGAGGACAGAGCUAUCAUUGAGAGUGAUUGCAAGAAGAGCAGAUUUAGGAUGGUGACUGGGAAAGAUGAAUUGAAAACAUAAAAUAGAACAACAGGAGU